GGGGGUGAAUUGGAUUCGACGGGGAUGUUGAAGUGAAGAUGGCAGGCGGAGUUUGUCGCACACUCCUAAAACGGCGGCACAGCACUACAAGUGCCAAUCAAACAGCUUUUGCUGCUUCUCUAAACUAAGAGGAGCUGUUCGCAUAGAAACCUCUGCCUAUAGGCUCUACGCGGACAUCGAAUAAAUAGGCUGGCCUGUCAGAGUGCCCCUGGCUGACGGGUGAGAUCAAAGGGGAUCGGGCAUCCGAAUCUUGUCUGGUGGGAGCCGGACGCCUCAGCACAAAUCACUAGACUAAGCCUGUAGAAGUCCAGCGGAUUCAUCUUCGGACCCGGGUUCAAAUCCCGGCACCUCCACCA
This 356-nucleotide transfer-messenger RNA is filed under the name Candidatus Acetothermia bacterium. It matches the Rfam family "transfer-messenger RNA". From Rfam's summary of the family: Bacterial tmRNA, also known as 10Sa RNA or SsrA, is named for its dual tRNA and mRNA-like properties. Its role is to liberate the mRNA from a stalled ribosome. RNAcentral also lists the same sequence under 1 other name. Lineage: Bacteria; Candidatus Bipolaricaulota. The record is from RNAcentral.